CUGUCCCUGCGGUAUGCGUGCUUUGAGUGAAAAAUAUUGAACCUAUACGCUUAACUAUGGGAGCCCGACCUCGUCAGUACCUUGGUAUUGAUGCUAAGGUUCCCACCUGUACAUAACAGGGUCAAUAUAAUUCAGCCUCACACGGUAUCCGCGGGGCCUUU
Molecule: non-coding RNA, 161 nt
Filed under: Candidatus Omnitrophota bacterium
Lineage: Bacteria; Pseudomonadati; Candidatus Omnitrophota
Description: 6S RNA
Rfam family: 6S / SsrS RNA
About the family: E. coli 6S RNA was the first non coding RNA to be sequenced, but its function was unknown until recently. It consists of 184 nucleotides that fold into an extended hairpin structure with a large single-stranded internal bulge.
Source: RNAcentral